AAAUUGAAGAGUUUGAUCAUGGCUCAGAUUGAACGCUGGCGGCAGGCCUAACACAUGCAAGUCGAGCGGUAGCACAGAGAGCUUGCUCUCGGGUGACGAGCGGCGGACGGGUGAGUAAUGUCUGGGAAACUGCCUGAUGGAGGGGGAUAACUACUGGAAACGGUAGCUAAUACCGCAUAACGUCGCAAGACCAAAGUGGGGGACCUUCGGGCCUCAUGCCAUCAGAUGUGCCCAGAUGGGAUUAGCUAGUAGGUGGGGUAAUGGCUCACCUAGGCGACGAUCCCUAGCUGGUCUGAGAGGAUGACCAGCCACACUGGAACUGAGACACGGUCCAGACUCCUACGGGAGGCAGCAGUGGGGAAUAUUGCACAAUGGGCGCAAGCCUGAUGCAGCCAUGCCGCGUGUAUGAAGAAGGCCUUCGGGUUGUAAAGUACUUUCAGCGAGGAGGAAGGCAUUAAGGUUAAUAACCUUAG
Molecule: ribosomal RNA, 473 nt
Filed under: Klebsiella ornithinolytica
Lineage: Bacteria; Pseudomonadati; Pseudomonadota; Gammaproteobacteria; Enterobacterales; Enterobacteriaceae
Description: bacterial SSU rRNA
Rfam family: Bacterial small subunit ribosomal RNA
Source: RNAcentral